UAUGGUAAUUGUGUGCAGCCGCGGUAAUACGGAAGGUCCGGGCGUUAUCCGGAUUUAUUGGGUUUAAAGGGAGCGUAGGCCGGAGCUUAAGCGUGUUGUGAAAUGUAGACGCUCAACGUCUGCACUGCAGCGCGAACUGGUUUCCUUGAGUACGCACAAAGUGGGCGGAAUUCGUGGUGUAGCGGUGAAAUGCUUAGAUAUCACGAAGAACUCCGAUUGCGAAGGCAGCUCACUGGAGCGCAACUGACGCUGAAGCUCGAAAGUGCGGGUAUCGAACAGG
Molecule: ribosomal RNA, 280 nt
Filed under: Segatella copri DSM 18205
Lineage: Bacteria; Pseudomonadati; Bacteroidota; Bacteroidia; Bacteroidales; Prevotellaceae
Description: Prevotella copri DSM 18205 partial 16S ribosomal RNA
Rfam family: Bacterial small subunit ribosomal RNA
Source: RNAcentral